UAUACAUGCAAGUCGAGCGGACUUGAUGAGAAGCUUGCUUCUCUGAUGGUUAGCGGCGGACGGGUGAGUAACACGUAGGCAACCUGCCUGUAAGAUCGGGAUAACUACCGGAAACGGUAGCUAAGACCGGAUAACCGGUUUCUCCGCAUGGAGAGAUCGUGAAACACGGAGCAAUCUGUGGCUUACGGAUGGGCCUGCGGCGCAUUAGCUAGUUGGUGAGGUAACGGCUCACCAAGGCGACGAUGCGUAGCCGACCUGAGAGGGUGAACGGCCACACUGGGACUGAGACACGGCCCAGACUCCUACGGGAGGCAGCAGUAGGGAAUCUUCCGCAAUGGACGCAAGUCUGACGGAGCAACGCCGCGUGAGUGAUGAAGGUUUUCGGAUCGUAAAGCUCUGUUGCCAGGGAAGAACGCCAAGGAGAGUAACUGCUCUUUGGGUGACGGUACCUGAGAAGAAAGCCCCGGCUAACUACGUGCCAGCAGCCGCGGUAAUACGUAGGGGGCAAGCGUUGUCCGGAAUUAUUGGGCGUAAAGCGCGCGCAGGCGGUUUUUUAAGUCUGGUGUUUAAUCCCGAGGCUCAACCUCGGUUCGCACCGGAAACUGGGAGACUGGAGUGCAGGAGAGGAAAGUGGAAUUCCACGUGUAGCGGUGAAAUGCGUAGAGAUGUGGAGGAACACCA
This 681-nucleotide ribosomal RNA is filed under the name Paenibacillus chitinolyticus. RNAcentral's name for it is "bacterial SSU rRNA". It matches the Rfam family "Bacterial small subunit ribosomal RNA", at positions 50 to 711 of the family's 1533-position model. Lineage: Bacteria; Bacillati; Bacillota; Bacilli; Caryophanales; Paenibacillaceae. The record is from RNAcentral.